RNAcentral lists this unclassified non-coding RNA (1431 nucleotides) under Leishmania donovani. Its description in RNAcentral is "gene:LdHU3.24.2240(CDS-product:hypothetical_prote in_conserved)". The record is from RNAcentral. Lineage: Eukaryota; Euglenozoa; Kinetoplastea; Trypanosomatida; Trypanosomatidae.
CGGACUGUGUGCAAGCGAGUCCCUCCAUGCCAGCAUGCCGCAAAGGAAGCGAUAGAUUUAUAGACGGGCACACACACACACACGCACGCACAUACACGCGCAUCUCUUGGUGCACCACUGGACACUCCCCCAACCACUCCGCCCGCCCCUCUGCCAACACGAGCGAGCCUGUUUGUGGAUUGAGUGCGUGUUCACGCGCUGUUGCUCCGCACAUCGACAGCAGAGUCUCCAACGAGACGGCGGAGCCUUCCUCCGCCCGCCCGCCUCUCUCUCCCCCUCCUUACCUCCUCGCCAAAAUGCAUUUGCGAAUAGGUAGCUUCAACGUGUGCUGCUACCACGACUGCACCAAUGCAGCAGCGAUUCACGCAGAGCUGAAGCGACGCCACAUCGAUGCCGCCGUCGUGGACCAUGCCUUUCUGAUCUCGCCGCUGCAACUAGCCGUGGCGCUGUUUCGGGUGGAGGCGAGUGCGGACAUGUUGGCAACACUGUUAUCGUCCACCAUUUCUCCUCCCCUCGCGGAGGCAUCUUCGCCGUCUUCAGCGUCGACAAGUGCGUCACCAUCACUGCCGCCGCUGCUGCAGCAGCAAACGACCCGUCGAGUUUCGAACAGUCGUCAAAUUUUUGCUGCUCUGUCUCUCUCACACAACUUGGACCGCAUUCUGCAGGUGCUCCCCCCCGGGCCGCAGACAACUAGCGUGGUGAUUAUCUACAAGCGUUCGGGCAGCGCGCGUGCUGCUGCCGUGUCCUUUGCAGACGAUGUGGGGGCUGGCAGCGCGGUAGCAUCUACGGUGCAGGACGGCAAGGACCUCGAUGCCACCAUUCACGCCUGUGUGCAGCUGACGAACAGCGCCGCACAGGCGCACACGUUUGCGCUCAUCACGGAGCCCUUCUGGACCGGUGCUGCCUUUGCGUUUGCCGAUGUGUCGAAGGUGGCCCUCUUCUACGGCAUCUCAGAGUCCAUGCUCCUCGCCGCCCAGCGCAGCAUGACCCGUGCCGACGUGCGUCGCGUGUGCGUCGGCGCGGAGUCGCAGGAGGCGCAGGCGCAGGCGCUCCGGUGGCACGCAUUGGAAGUCUGCGUGACGACGCUGCUGUCUGCGUGCACGGCAUAGAGCGGGUAGCAGGCAGGAGGCAUGCUGAUGGCACAUCCAAGGGUGUGCCUAAGUAGACACGCACACACGUAGGGAGUAUAGCGCAUGGAUAGAAACGUCACGUGAAGUUAUAUGCGCAGUAACAGCCAACGUGGAAGAGAGAAGAGCAAGAGCGGGAGACGCACUCACACACACGCAGAUCUAUAUAUAUAUAUAUAUAUACAUACUUUUGUGUGUAUGUGUGUGAGGCGUUCGUGGGCUGUAUGCGAGAGACUCGCCGUGCCGACACAUGGCACCUCUGUGCCUUCGUGUUUCUCCUUCCUAUGCAUGCGCACAUACACAC